UACCCCGCUGAAAUUAAGCAUAUAAGUAGGUGGUGGAAAACAAACCAAAUGGGAUUCUUCAAGUAAUGGCGAAUGAACCUAGAUAUGCUCAAUUUGAAAAAUACAGUGAUACUGUUUGACAUGUAAUUUCAAAAUGUACAACCAAUUGGCAUGCAAGUGGAAGCUCAUUGAAAGAAUGCGUCGAAGAAGGUGAAAAUCCAUUUUGCCACUUGUAAUGUUGUUGUUUAUGGUGUAUAUUUCAGGAGUCACAUUCCUUGGCAUUGGAAUGCAAUGUGGGUGGUAAACUUCAUGCAAAGAUUAAUAUGUGUUUGAGAUUGAUAGUACACAAAUACCGUGAGGGAAAUAUGAAAAGGACUUUGAAAAGAGAUUUAAAAGAGUUUGCAGUUGCUGAACAAAAAACAAAUAGGAUGUCGACGAUUGAGCAGAUUGUUGAACCUCGGUUUGCUUCAAUUGCUAGCAUGUGUGUAUUCAAUGAUUCUAUCUUUGUCUACCAUACCAUUCUCAGCGUAUCAUGACACUUGCAGGUUUCGUGUUUUUGCUUGCGGGCUAAUGACAACACCUGCUUGAGAAUGGUAUGCCAAGUGUUCAUUGUGCUUAGAGUCUGCAUACUGCUUAUGUUAAGUUGCAAUUCUGAACUUGUGCUUUGAGCUGUGCUUUACCUUCUGCAUAUGUCUAUUGGUGAUCAUAUCCUGCUUGACCCGUCUUGAAACACGGACCAAGGAGUCUAAUAGAUGUGCAAGCUUUGAAACUGCUAUUUUGUUUAAACCAAUGAAAUUAAGAGCUGGGAUUUUUGCACCAGCAACCAAUUGAUUGGUGGGUAAAGCCUUGAGUUGGAGCAUAUUUAUUAGGACCCGAAAGAUGGUGAACUAUGCCUGAAGAGAAUGAAUUCAGAGGAAACUCUGACGGAAGUUCGCAUCAAUACUGACGUGCAAAUCGUUUGUCAUACUUGGGUAUAGGCGAAAGGAUUUUAAACCCCC
Molecule: ribosomal RNA, 977 nt
Filed under: Coolia canariensis
Lineage: Eukaryota; Dinophyceae; Peridiniales; Ostreopsidaceae
Description: partial large subunit ribosomal RNA
Rfam family: Eukaryotic large subunit ribosomal RNA
Source: RNAcentral